Non-coding RNA from Cavia porcellus (domestic guinea pig), 107 nucleotides. The record is from Rfam. Lineage: Eukaryota; Metazoa; Chordata; Mammalia; Rodentia; Caviidae.
GUCAUUUAAGUCUCUACAUAAGUGUGAUGAUUUGGUGUUCAUGCUCCAUGCAUGAUAUGUACCUUCUUUGAACUUUGUUACAACAUUGGCACGUUACCCAUCUGACG